Molecule: long non-coding RNA, 2020 nt
Organism: Equus caballus (horse)
Lineage: Eukaryota; Metazoa; Chordata; Mammalia; Perissodactyla; Equidae
Source: Ensembl
GGGUAUAAUUUGGUACUGAAGGUGGAGUGGAAAGAAUGAACUAUGUCAGAUUGUAUUUUCCAAAGAUGGUCACAAUAUUCCCAUCUUGUGUUUUCUUUUACAAUGUGACCAUGCCUCUCCCUCAUCAAGAGGUGGAGUCUAGUUUCCCUCCCUUUGAAUCUGGGUAGCUUGUGACUGCUUCCACCAGCAAAGAAGGGUAGAAGUGACAUCAUGUGAUUUCCAAGGCUGAGUCACAAAAAGUGAUGUAGCUGGAGCUCUGAACUUUCAUGAGGCAGCCAUGCCAUGAGGAAGGUCACAUGUUGAGGAUGCUGCCACAGCAUGGCCUGACAAGUGGUGUGUAGGUCCAUGCCCAGCACCUGAACCGACGAACCCUGGGCCGCCGAAGCAGAACAUGCCAACUUAACCACUCGACCACAGAGCUGGCCCUUUGUGAUCUUUUUAAUAUCUGCCUGAAUAGAAGACAGCUGAAUUUUCAUAUCUCUUCUGCAUUUAGUCUACUGUUAUAUAUUGCUUUGGUUGAAGGAGGUGAAGGAAAAUCAGCCUCACAGAGACAUGUAGGAAAAGGGACUUCCUCAGAGACCCCUUGAAGGGAUCUUGGGGGCCCCCAAGGAUCCUCAGACCACACUUUGGAAAUUGCUGAUUUAAAUUCAUAAAACUGGAUGAAAUCCCUAAGGGAGAAGAGAAGAGACCCAAGGACUCAGCCCCGGGCGUAGAGAUUUCAAGAGACCAGGGAGAUGGAGACAAACCAGCAAAGGAGACUGAGGUAGGAGGAAAACCAAGAGGUGGUGACCUGGAAGCCAAGCGGAGAAGGGUUUGUGCGUGUGUAUGCUGGUAGACCCUGAAUGGAGUGAGUAUUCCCACUGCCAAUUGUGCUGGGAUAGAAAAUCAGGCCAUAUUGGAGGCAGGCCUUAGAGGGAGGAACAUCUUUAAUGUUUAGAGGAGUUGUUGGGGUGGGAGAGGUUAGCUGGGCCCUGCCACAGGUGGGCAAGCAGGAGCUGGGCAGGGAGGUGAUUUAUAAGCAUCCCUGACAAGGAAUCUAGGCCUCAGAGCUUUGAGCUUAAAUGCUACCAGACACCUUCUAUCUGCAGUCCUUCCCUUCGAUUAACACCAAGUGCUUUAACAAAUUGUGAGAUUUAAGAGGAAGGGCAAGUUUGAGCUUAGGAUGGAGCAGCAUUGAGAAGGCUGAUUCCCCACUCCUUCAUCCUUGUUCCAGUCCCUCCAAGCCAGACUGAUGGACAAGCCAGUGGCCUGAGGGAGGUGGCACAACCUGGGGCUGCAGGUGGAGACCGAAGAAGAUUCAUUGCAGUGUCUUGGCACAGGGACAACAGCAGGGUGCCUUCACAAGGAAGACCAGGGAGAAGAACUCAGCAGCCCUGGUCCUGAGCUCACAUUGACAGCUCUUCUGUGAGGGGCUGAGUCAUGUGGAGCUUGGCAUCCCCACUCUCUGGUAACCCAUCACUGUAUGACCUUGUGAAGUAGCCUCAGGCCAGAGUGGCCAGGGCAGCACUGGGAGUUCCUAAGAUGGAGACAGGGCAGCAGCAUUUCCCCAGCUGAUCUCCCCUGUGAACUGCUGGUCUAGAGGCACGUUAAGGGAUUGGUAUUCCAGGAAACACAUGCUGAUUCAUGCAGAUAUAAAACCAGAGGAGAUGGAAGGGACCUCUGAGGAUAUGUUGGUUCACUGGUUCUCAUCUGGGGGCAUUGGAAUCACCUGGGUACUUGAAAAUACAGAGCCUUGGGCCCCAUCCAGACCUACUGAAUUAGAAUCUCUGAUGACGGUGAGGGUCUGGCAUGCAUAUUAUUAUUACUUUUUUUUUUUUUUUGAGGAAGAUUAGCCCUGAGCUAACAUCUGCUGCCAAUCCUCCUCUUUUUGCUGAGAAAGACUGGCCCUGAGCUAACAUCUGUGCCCACCUUCCUCUACUUUAUAUGUGGGACGUCUACCACAGCACGGCUUGCCAAGCGGUGCCAUGUCCGCACCUGGGAUCUGAACCGGCGAACCCCGGGCACUGAAGCAGAACGUGCG